GUCUGUAAAGCCCUUUUCUGUGUGACGAGAAUGGACGGUAGCACAGGAAUAAGUCUCGGCUAACUACGUGCCAGCAGCCGCGGUAAAACGUAGGAGGCAAGCGUUAUCCGGAGUAACUGGGCGUAAAGGGCGAGUAGGUGGUUCAAUAAGUUGGUUAUGAAAGCUCCUGGCUAAACUGGGAGAGGCUGACCAAGACUGUUGGACUUGAGUGGAGAAGAGGUAAACGGAAUUCCGCGUGUAGUGGUGAAAUGCGUAGAGAUGCGGAAGAACACCAGUGGCGAAGGCGGUUUACUGGUCUCCAACUGACACUGAACCGCGAAAGCAUGGGUAGCGAACGGGAUUAGAAACCCCGGUAGUCCAUGCCGUAAACGAUGCACACUAAACGUUCGGCAUCCGCGAGGGUGCUGAGUGUUGAAGCCAACGCGAUAAGUGUGCCGCCUGGGGAGUACGGUCGCAAGGCUAAAACUCAAAGGAAUUGACGGGGGCCCGCACAAGCAGCGGAGCGUGUGGUUUAAUUCGAGGGUACACGAAGAACCUUACCUGGGUUUGACAUAGGCGUGGUACUCAAGGGAAACUGCGAGGACUCUUCGGAGAGCGUCUACAGGUGCUGCAUGGUUGUCGUCAGCUCGUGCCGUGAGGUGUUCGGUUAAGUCCGCAAACGAGCGCAACCCUCGGCGUUAGUUACAAGUGUCUAA
Molecule: ribosomal RNA, 695 nt
Filed under: uncultured Dehalococcoides sp.
Lineage: Bacteria; Bacillati; Chloroflexota; Dehalococcoidia; Dehalococcoidales; Dehalococcoidaceae
Description: bacterial SSU rRNA
Rfam family: Bacterial small subunit ribosomal RNA
Source: RNAcentral